Long non-coding RNA from Diceros bicornis minor, 2721 nucleotides. RefSeq lists it as uncharacterized. The transcript is spliced from 3 exons. The record is from RefSeq and is a predicted model, not a curated record. NCBI's taxonomy places the organism in Eukaryota, Metazoa, Chordata, Mammalia, Perissodactyla, Rhinocerotidae.
CUCACUGCUUGGGACUCAGCCUUGAGGCCCUCAGAGUUGGAGUACGUGCCUGCAGUGCAUGAUCUGAGAGACUCGGUCACUCCCUCACUUACAGCGCGGUUAAGAGCUCCAGGGCUGGGCUCCAACACACCUGGAUUCAGUUCCCGGCUGGGCCACUUCCCGUCUGGGCAACCCUGAGCAGCCCCCUGCGCCUCAGAUGCCUCAUCUGUAAAAUGGGUGUAAUCACAGUGCCUACCUCAUAGGGGUGUGGUGAGGAUCAAGCCAGUAACGCCCAACACCACUUCCUCAGAGAGGCCCUCUUGAUACCGGCUCAAGACAAGGUUGACACGAGGGAAGUAUAUUGUAACUUUGGAUGACCUCUGACUAACUCUGGACUUUACAGCCCCUCACAGCUGCUAUAAGCAGAUAACUGUUCUCUUGAGUUCUUUAGAAAUGUGAUGCCCCCCUCGCAGAGAGUCUAUGCUGACAGCCAUCAUUAAGGCAACUGAAAGAUCAGGGUGUAGGGCGUUGCUCCAGUCUCUGAUGCAUAUCCAGUAAAACAAAAGACUGCCAGCAACUAAGACCAGAUGCCGCCCCCACUCAGAGGCCAGCCCCCUAUAGAACUGGCCUAUAGUCUUUGCUCUGUAAGAUGGUUUUUUUCCGACGUUAGUCGGCCAUCUUCCCUCUUGCUAGCAAACUGUAAGAAAAAGUCCUUUCUUUCCUACCACCUUGCCUCUUGCCUCUUGCCAUGUUUCGCAGCCAGCAGAAGAUUCCCCGCCUUGGGCGGUAACACUCCCAGGUUACACCCGGCAGAAAGAGCUCCCCCAUCUCCCUCCAGGCCCUUCGUCAUCCUUUUACUUUGUCUUACUCUUUUCUUUAUAGCACUGUCAAAGGACAAAACUAAAACAAUUCAGUAAGGAGUCGGCGUCCUCUGGUAGACGGAAAACAAUCCGCGGACUAGAGGAGUCGAGACCGCCCGGGCUGUGGAGCCCAGUUCCCGCGGGAUUUGGGGCGAGAGCGCGUUCACAGAGUGGAGGAGGCAGGGCGAUGGGCUGGGGGGCGGGGCUCUCCUCUGGGGGCGCCGGGUCCUGGGUUCUAGGGUCAGGGUUGCAGGCUGGAGCUGCGUUAGAGGACCAUGACCGGAGUGUUAGGACUUCUUGUCAGCAGUUUCCCGAAAGGUCAGCUCUGUCGUGGUGGCGAUGUGCUCACUGCUGUGUCCCAAGAGCCCCUAGCACCGCUGGGCACGUCGCAGGGCUGAAUAAAAGUACCUGUGAGUUGCACCGCACCUUGCACGACGACUGACGCGUACUCCAUAUUCAAAAAACAACAAAAUCGAGGGAAAUGAAGAGCCCAGGAUGCUCCAGUCCUCCUGCCGGACGGAGAUAAUCGUGGCUAACACCUGGGUGUGUACAGCCUUCCGGAACUUUCUGGACACGUUGCAUAAACAAAUGAUUUUAUUGCCUUUUCCCCCUUGAUUAUGUAAGUGAUAGAUGUUCAUUGUAGGCAGCUUGGAAAAUAGUUUUUAAAAACAUAGGAAAGUUUUAACCACCUAUCCAUAAUGUCACACGGGGAGACUGUGUCUAGAGAAGUAGAGUGUGGAAGGUGGGGGCCUGGGGGUGGGCUCUGGAGUCGCCCAGUCUUGGCCUUGGUGAGGGGCUGAAUUUCCUGCGCCUCAGUAGUCACAUCUGUGGAAGGACAGUCACACAGUAGUGGCCGUGGCAGGGGUUGUUCUGGGGAGGAACGAGACCCUGCCUCGCCUGCUCGAUGGAUUGAGCCAGUAUUGUUGUACACAGUGUUAACCUCCGGGAGAUUCCCUUCCAGGUGUGUAAUCAUACAAUACAAUGUAACACAAUACAAUACAAAUGAUACUAUGUAUACAUAAUUUUGUAUCCUAUUUAUUUUUACUCAUCACUGAAUUUUGGACAUUUUUAGAAAAAUGACAUUUACUUUUCUUUUAUAACAUCGCUCUUAAUGGCUAAGUCAUGUUUCAUUGUUUCUCCCACCAGCCCUAUUGCUGACCUUCUAGGUGAAUUCCUUUCUUUAGUUGCUGUUGUUAUACAUAACACUGAAAUGAAAACUUUUCAUACAAAUUUUGUCCAGCAUUUCUGAGUAUUUCCUAAGAAGGAGAUUCCUAGAAGUGGAAUUGCUGAGACAAAAGGAACAAAUAUUCUUACUGUAUAUUACUGCUAAAUUAUGUCAAGAAAAUUUUUUAAAAAUCAGUGUAGGUAUCUGUCCUCCAUCUGUGAGUAUGUUUAUUCCCUGCAUCCUUGCUGCUACUGCCAUGUAUGAUUUUUUAAAGUUCACAGAUUUAAUGGAUGAGGAAGAUCUCUAGUUGCCUUGGUUACUGGGGGAAAAGAUGAGUGUUCUGAUGUUUGGUGGUGAGUGUUUGGUAGUUGAAAGAGCGAGUUUCUCAUCUCUUUGCACUGCUGGUUCCUAACCUAUAAAGUGGGGAAAACAGUAAUAUCUAUUUCACAGGGUCGUUUCGAAGAUUAAAUGGGUUAAUACGUAUAAACCUGUUAGAGCCCUUCUUGAUAAGUGUCAAAUAAACCUCAGCAAAUUAUUAUCUUUGUUGUUAUUGUUGCCAAAUUCCACAUGCAUAACUCAGGGCCUGUCUUCUGAAGGAAAGGAUGCUGUGUGAUUUUGUGUAGGUCUCAUGUCCUGUUUGGUCCUUAGUUUCUUCUCUGUCGAGUGGGGCUGAGAAUGCCUGCCUUGCCUGCCUCGGAAGGCUGUGGGAAGAACUGA